RNAcentral lists this ribosomal RNA (708 nucleotides) under uncultured bacterium. Its description in RNAcentral is "bacterial SSU rRNA". It matches the Rfam family "Bacterial small subunit ribosomal RNA", at positions 73 to 771 of the family's 1533-position model. The record is from RNAcentral.
GGAGUAGCAAUACUCCCGCCGGCGACCGGCGCACGGGUGAGUAACACGUAUGAAACCUGCCCGUAGCAGGGGGGGAUAAGCGGAAGAAAUUCCGUCUAAUACCGCGUAACAACCCUUGGAGGCAUCUCCUCGGGUUUAAAGGAAGCGAUUCCGGCUACGGAUGGUCAUGCGUCGCAUUAGCUGGUUGGCGGGGUAACGGCCCACCAAGGCGACGAUGCGUAGGGGUUCUGAGAGGAAGGUCCCCCACACUGGUACUGAGACACGGACCAGACUCCUACGGGAGGCAGCAGUGAGGAAUAUUGGUCAAUGGCCGCAGGGCUGAACCAGCCAAGUCGCGUGAGGGAUGACGGUCCUAUGGAUUGUAAACCUCUUUUGUCAGGGAGCAAAGGGCGCCACGUGUGGCGCUUUGCGAGUACCUGAAGAAAAAGCAUCGGCUAACUCCGUGCCAGCAGCCGCGGUAAUACGGAGGAUGCGAGCGUUAUCCGGAUUUAUUGGGUUUAAAGGGUGCGCAGGCGGAAUGUCAAGUCAGCGGUAAAAUUUCGGGGCUCAACCCCGUCGUGCCGUUGAAACUGGCGUUCUUGAGUGAGCGAGAAGUAUGCGGAAUGCGUGGUGUAGCGGUGAAAUGCAUAGAUAUCACGCAGAACUCCGAUUGCGAAGGCAGCAUACCGGCGCUCAACUGACGCUCAUGCACGAAAGCGUGGGUAUCGA